CAAGGCUGAGUCAAAUCUGCGUUUCAUCAUCUAUAAGAAAGGUACCUAUCGAGAACACCCUGCUGGCCAGUGUGUAAAUAUCUAAAGGAGGACUCAGAAAACACCGGGGAAGUCCAGCCUGCACGUGGUGGCUGGGCUUCAGUGAAGCAUGCAGCACAACAGGAGUUGGCAGACCACAAAGAGCAUGUCUGGACCUAGAACCACAGCAUGUAACCUCGGAAGCAGUGAGACACCAGCCAGCAUGGACAAGCAGCAGGCACUUGCUCUAUACCAGGUGAGGGUGUGGAGACAUGACGUGGUGCAGGGACACCAGCACCCAGUCCUAGUUCUGGUCCCUCUCAGCCUUGUUAGGUCCUGGUUCCUAAGAUUCCAGGGAACAUCCCCACAGCCUCACAAUAAGAUCCUCCUUUCCUGCAUUAUGCUGCAUGAUAGAACGCUAUGCCCUCUCACAGAUAGGUCCCACCUCCAGCCUUCCCCUGCUGCCAUCUAACAUCCUAAACUCCAGCUCUGAAUGUCUGUCUCCUGCUCUGAAUCUUCAGUGACUUCGAAACUCAAGUCAGGACACCUCUCAGUUUGGCCUCACUGCUCAAGAUUGAGCUGAAUUCAUGACCAUAAUUCAAGCAUUCAGAUUCAUGGGCUGUUUUGUGGGUUUUGCUAUCUCUUAUUUUGUUUUUGCACAUCUUACCCACUGAAACGUUGGGCUGCAAAAAGUUUGAUCACUAAAUAUGUAGGCAAUGCUGGAUACUGGGCUGUUAUUUACAUAUUUGUAUCACCUUUUAUUUCAUAAGAUAGCAUUGUCAGAGUAAUUUAGUAUUUCAACAUAAUCAACAAGUAAAAUAAAAUUAAUGAGAAUGAU
RNAcentral lists this long non-coding RNA (856 nucleotides) under Homo sapiens (human). RNAcentral's name for it is "long non-coding RNA NONHSAT148187.1". The record is from RNAcentral. Lineage: Eukaryota; Metazoa; Chordata; Mammalia; Primates; Hominidae.